RNAcentral lists this transfer RNA (76 nucleotides) under Clostridium sp. CAG:762. Its description in RNAcentral is "transfer RNA-Lys(CTT)". It matches the Rfam family "tRNA". Rfam says of the family: Transfer RNA (tRNA) molecules are approximately 80 nucleotides in length. Their secondary structure includes four short double-helical elements and three loops (D, anti-codon, and T loops). Lineage: Bacteria; Bacillati; Bacillota; Clostridia; Eubacteriales; Clostridiaceae. RNAcentral also lists the same sequence under 2 other names. The record is from RNAcentral.
GGACCGUUAGCUCAGUUGGUAGAGCAACUGACUCUUAAUCAGUGGGUCUAGGGUUCGAGCCCCUAACGGUCCACCA